UACUAUUUUCGUAACAAGGAUCGUCUUC
Molecule: small RNA, 28 nt
Filed under: Bombyx mori (domestic silkworm)
Lineage: Eukaryota; Metazoa; Arthropoda; Insecta; Lepidoptera; Bombycidae
Description: ovarian small RNA-21349
Source: RNAcentral